AACGAAUGCUGGCGGCAUGCCUAACACAUGCAAGUCGAACGAGACCUUCGGGUCUAGUGGCGCACGGGUGCGUAACGCGUGGGAAUCUGCCCUUGGGUUCGGAAUAACAGUUAGAAAUGACUGCUAAUACCGGAUGAUGUCUUCGGACCAAAGAUUUAUCGCCCAGGGAUGAGCCCGCGUAGGAUUAGCUAGUUGGUGGGGUAAAGGCCUACCAAGGCGACGAUCCUUAGCUGGUCUGAGAGGAUGAUCAGCCACACUGGGACUGAGACACGGCCCAGACUCCUACGGGAGGCAGCAGUGGGGAAUAUUGCACAAUGGGCGCAAGCCUGAUGCAGCAACGCCGCGUGAGGGACGACGGCCUCGGGUUGUAACCGUACUUUUAGUUAGGGUAAGGAAGGACGAAAGUA
RNAcentral lists this ribosomal RNA (407 nucleotides) under uncultured bacterium. Its description in RNAcentral is "bacterial SSU rRNA". It matches the Rfam family "Bacterial small subunit ribosomal RNA", at positions 29 to 463 of the family's 1533-position model. The record is from RNAcentral.